Molecule: ribosomal RNA, 482 nt
Filed under: uncultured bacterium
Lineage: Bacteria
Description: bacterial SSU rRNA
Rfam family: Bacterial small subunit ribosomal RNA
Source: RNAcentral
AUUGAACGCUGGCGGCAUGCCUUACACAUGCAAGUCGAACGGCAGCACGGGAGCAAUCCUGGUGGCGAGUGGCGAACGGGUGAGUAAUAUAUCGGAACGUGCCCAGUCGUGGGGGAUAACGUAGCGAAAGCUACGCUAAUACCGCAUACGAUCUACGGAUGAAAGCGGGGGAUCGCAAGACCUCGCGCGAUUGGAGCGGCCGAUAUCAGAUUAGCUAGUUGGUGGGGUAAAAGCUCACCAAGGCGACGAUCUGUAGCUGGUCUGAGAGGACGACCAGCCACACUGGAACUGAGACACGGUCCAGACUCCUACGGGAGGCAGCAGUGGGGAAUUUUGGACAAUGGGCGCAAGCCUGAUCCAGCAAUGCCGCGUGCAGGAUGAAGGCCUUCGGUCGUAACUGCUUUGUACGGAACGAACGGUGAGCUCUAAUAAAGCUUGCUAAUGACGGUACCGUAAGAAUAAGCACCGGCUAACUACGUGCC